RNAcentral lists this ribosomal RNA (492 nucleotides) under uncultured bacterium. RNAcentral's name for it is "partial 16S ribosomal RNA". It matches the Rfam family "Bacterial small subunit ribosomal RNA", at positions 29 to 507 of the family's 1533-position model. The record is from RNAcentral.
AGUGAACGCUGGCGGUAGGCCUAACACAUGCAAGUCGAACGGCAGCACAGUAAGAGCUUGCUCUUACGGGUGGCGAGUGGCGGACGGGUGAGGAAUACAUCGGAAUCUACUUUUUCGUGGGGGAUAACGUAGGGAAACUUACGCUAAUACCGCAUCCGACCUACGGGUGAAAGCAGGGGAUCUUCGGACCUUGCGCGAUUGAAUGAGCCGAUGUCGGAUUAGCUAGUUGGCGGGGUAAAUGCCCACCAAGGCGACGAUCCGUAGCUGGUCUGAGAGGAUGAUCAGCGACACUGGAACUGAGACACGGUCCAGACUCCUACGGGAGGCAGCAGUGGGGAAUAUUGGACAAUGGGCGCAAGCAUGAUCCAGCCAUACCGCGUGGGUGAAGAAGGCCUUCGGGUUGUAAAGCCCUUUUGUUGGGAAAGAAAAGCAGCAGGUUAAUACCCCGCUGUUCUGACGGUACCCAAAGAAUAAGCACCGGCUAACUUCGUG